GACGAACGCUGGCGGCGUGCCUAAUACAUGCGAGUUGAGCGCUGAAGGUUGGUACUUGUACCGACUGGAUGAGCAGCGAACGGGUGAGUAACGCGUGGGGAAUCUGCCUUUGAGCGGGGGACAACAUUUGGAAACGAAUGCUAAUACCGCAUAAAAACUUUAAACACAAGUUUUAAGUUUGAAAGAUGCAAUUGCAUCACUCAAAGAUGAUCCCGCGUUGUAUUAGCUAGUUGGUGAGGUAAAGGCUCACCAAGGCGAUGAUACAUAGCCGACCUGAGAGGGUGAUCGGCCACAGUGGGACUGAGACACGGCCCAAACUCCUACGGGAGGCAGCAGUAGGGAAUCUUCGGCAAUGGACGAAAGUCUGACCGAGCAACGCCGCGUGAGUGAAGAAGGUUUUCGGAUCGUAAAACUCUGUUGGUAGAGAAGAACGUUGGUGAGAGUGGAAAGCUCAUCAAGUGACGGUAACUACCCAGAAAGGGACGGCUAACUACGUG
RNAcentral lists this ribosomal RNA (497 nucleotides) under uncultured bacterium. Its description in RNAcentral is "partial 16S ribosomal RNA". It matches the Rfam family "Bacterial small subunit ribosomal RNA", at positions 28 to 507 of the family's 1533-position model. The record is from RNAcentral.